CCUACGGGCGGCAGCAGUGGGGAAUAUUGGGCAAUGGGCGCAAGCCUGACCCAGCAACGCCGCGUGGAGGAAGAAGGCUUUCGGGUUGUAAACCCCUUUUCUCAGGGACGAAGCAAGUGACGGUACCUGAGGAAUAAGCCACGGCUAACUACGCGCCAGCAGCCGCGGUAAUACGUCGGUGGCAAGCGUUAUCCGGAUUUACUGGGUGUAAAGGGCGGGUAGGCGGGGACGCAAGUCAGAUGUGAAAACCACGGGCUCAACCUGUGGCCUGCAUUUGAAACUGUGUUUCUUGAGUGCUGGAGAGGCAGACGGAAUUCCUAGUGUAGCGGUGAAAUGCGUAGAUAUUAGGAGGAACACCAGUGGCGAAGGCGGUCUGCUGGACAGCAACUGACGCUGAGGCGCGAAAGCGUGGGGAGCAAACAGGAUUAGAUACCCCUGUAGUC
RNAcentral lists this ribosomal RNA (443 nucleotides) under uncultured bacterium. Its description in RNAcentral is "partial 16S ribosomal RNA". It matches the Rfam family "Bacterial small subunit ribosomal RNA", at positions 338 to 795 of the family's 1533-position model. The record is from RNAcentral.